This 219-nucleotide ribosomal RNA is filed under the name Triticum aestivum (bread wheat). RNAcentral describes it as "partial small subunit ribosomal RNA". Lineage: Eukaryota; Viridiplantae; Streptophyta; Magnoliopsida; Poales; Poaceae. The record is from RNAcentral.
AUGAAUAUUUUGUCUUGGAACUGUCGGGGGGGGAACCGCCGGACAGUUCGUGAGGUUUUAGCCCUCUCAAAAGCCAAUAAACCCAAGCUAGUCUUUCUGUGUGCGACUAGACAGGAGGAUUCUAAGGUUGAGAAAAUGAAGUGGAGACUAGGCCUAAAAGGCUUUGAUGGAGUCAGUAGUGAUGGAAGCAGUGGAGGUCUUGCGUUGUUCUGGGAUGAG